Molecule: ribosomal RNA, 241 nt
Filed under: uncultured bacterium
Lineage: Bacteria
Description: partial 16S ribosomal RNA
Rfam family: Bacterial small subunit ribosomal RNA
Source: RNAcentral
UACGGAGGGUGCAAACGUUGCUCGGAAUCAUUGGGCGUAAAGGCGCACGUAGGCGGCCUGAUAAGUCGGGUGUGAAAGCCCUGGGCUCAAACCCCAGGAAGUGCACCUUGAAACUGAUCAGGCUUUGAAAUAUGGGAAGAGGGGUCGCGGGAAUUCCCGGAUUGGUAGAGGUGGAAAUUCGUAGAUAUCGGGAGGAACACCAGUGGCGAAGGCGGCGACCUGGGCCAAUAUUGACGCUGAG